This 461-nucleotide ribosomal RNA is filed under the name uncultured bacterium. Its description in RNAcentral is "partial 16S ribosomal RNA". It matches the Rfam family "Bacterial small subunit ribosomal RNA", at positions 338 to 795 of the family's 1533-position model. The record is from RNAcentral.
CCUACGGGGGGCAGCAGUGAGGAAUAUUGGUCAAUGGGCGGAAGCCUGAACCAGCCAAGUAGCGUGCAGGAUGACGGCCCUACGGGUUGUAAACUGCUUUUAUACGGGAAUAACGCGCCUUACGAGUAGGGCUUUGCAUGUACCGUAUGAAUAAGGACCGGGUAAUUCCGUGCAAGCAGCCGCGGUAAUAAGGAAGGUCCGGGCGUUAUCCGGAUUUAUUGGGUUUAAAGGCCGCGUAGGCCGCAUGUCACGCGGGCUGUGAAAGUUCCGGGCUCAACCCGGGCCUUGCAGCGCGAACUGGCGUGCUUGAGUCCGCGGAAAGCAGGCGGAAUUCGUCGUGUAGCGGUGAAAUGCUUAGAUAUGACGAAGAACCCCGAUUGCGAAGGCAGCUUGCUGCAGCGGAACUGACGCUGAUGCUCGAAAGCGCGGGUAUCGAACAGGAUUAGAUACCCCUGGUAGUC